UUAAAACAUUGAAUUUAGUACUAAAGGAUCAUUAACACAAUGGUUAGAGUCGGCGGCCCGAUCAGCCUUCUGGAAAUGAUGCCUUAGCUGGCUGAGCUGUCUCAUGAGAAUGUACCGUUUGAGAUCUUAUGUUAGAAACUUCGUUUAUAUAUAGUUACGUUGGAGUCCUUUUGUAAUGCGCAAAUACGUUAUUUGCAAGGACUAGUAUGUAAUGUACGAAAUUACCCCUUCAUUGGCUCUUUCAUUAUUUUACAGAGUAAAUUUCAAUGUUCAUCGUGGGUCAUUGUUACAUUACCAUCGCCAUACAUUACGCAAACAGAGACAACGAUAUAAAAUUGUGGUCGAUGUGCGGUUUGUAAAAUUGACUUUCAAAAACCAUUCAUUUUUAGCUAACUUGCCGCAAGGUUUAGCUGGAGAAUGACCUUAAUUUAAUAACGAUAAAAAGAGAUUUUGUAUAGGUAUGCUCAUGACUGCGUCGUUGAGCUUAUUGAAUGUUCAUUCAGUUGUUUCUCUUAAGUUUAACGACAGCCACGGAAGUCAGGCAACUUACUGUGUGUUAAAAAGUUGCGUCAAUCCUAUGGCGUUCAUAUAAAGUUACACCAUUGAUUACACCACAUGAUUUUAAGGUGUUUUGCAAGAUAUUUAAGGGAAUUCUACCUUCUAUAUCUCGUGGCGUUCCGUGACUUUUGAAUAUGUUUAAAAACGCCUCUCUUUUUCUCGAACAUGUCCAAAAAAGUGAUCUGGUAGAACAACGUCUUUCUGAAGGUUAUUUGAACCCACCAUUUGUCGUUUGAGUAAUUCCACACGAAAAACUCGACACAAGGGCUGAUAACGACGCCAUACGCUUGUCUUGAUUCUUUCCGUAAAGAUGGAACCAUGUCCCGCCUGUGGUGACCGCACGCUCCAAGUGCGUUUUCUGUUGAUUCAAGUUUCGCAAAACGAUGCAGCAUGACGCCCGAUCUCUUAUGCCGCAAGCUCUGAUGCCACUGAGCCUCUGGUGAGAUACGAGUCAGAGUCGGUUAGUCGGUUACCACUCUGGGCAGUUUCAAGGCUCUCGUUCCAGCCCAGUACUGUUUAGAAUGGAUGCUGUUCACCCAAUAAAGGGAUUUCUAUCGCAGUUACCGAGUUACCGGCGGAAUACUGACGCUAUUCUCGACCUCAUGAACACCGCAUAUCAGGAGGGUGGUUAUACGAGUGACCUGAAUCAGCAUAUACCGCGCAUCCUUAAGCUCCUGAAUGAAACGUCUCUCACUCUUAAUAAUUUCCCUAAUACACAAAGCUGCAAACUAGUGCUUUAGAGCUUGUAGGAUGUGGUGGCAAUAUAGACACAGAAUCAAUCGAGCAUAUCAAGCUUUCUUAACAUUGCCCGCAAAUUCGUAGGCCACUAGAAUAAGGGAUAAUGCGUAGUAGCAAGGGAAUGAAACAGCAGCCUAUUUGAGAAAAAAAUUUUUCUACAGGUUCUGCUGGAUUCACGGAAAAAAUCUUGCACCUUUAAAUCUGUAAUAGGUUUUUUGUGUAUUAUCUUCAUAUCCGAACGAUUUCUAACAGACGGUUAACACGAAUAUUUGGACCUUUUUUGUCAUUAAGUCUUCACAUGUGUUAACCACUAAGAUAGCUUUACGAAAAUUGUUUAUUCUAAUUGUCUGUGAUCAUUUAGACUUGGCUUCGUAUGUAUUGACCAGCUUUCCAAAUUUCAUUCAGAUAGUAGCGACCCGGUUACGAUCGAAACUUAAUUGCUGAGAGUAGCGUUUUGCGUGCUCGUUGUGACAAAUUAUC
Molecule: RNA transcript, 1776 nt
Organism: Varroa destructor (honeybee mite)
Lineage: Eukaryota; Metazoa; Arthropoda; Arachnida; Mesostigmata; Varroidae
Source: RefSeq, a predicted model, not a curated record